Molecule: unclassified non-coding RNA, 595 nt
Filed under: Hevea brasiliensis (rubber tree)
Lineage: Eukaryota; Viridiplantae; Streptophyta; Magnoliopsida; Malpighiales; Euphorbiaceae
Source: RNAcentral
AAAAAAAAAAAAAAAAGAAAAAAUGCAAAACUUAGUUCCUUUUUCUUUCCUUCGCUGACACUUACAACGAGUGAAUCUCUGUGUAGGCCAUCUGAUUGUAAUGGAAGUGUAUAGUUUCCCAGUUUCCAUUAAGAUGAUGAAAGCAAACUAACCCUUGUUUCUCGUUUUUAUAAAUUUAAAGAGAUCAUCACAAUUUUCAUUCUAAUGUUAUCUGCUGCAAACUACAAAAAACUGUUGGAUUUUUACCUUUGCCGUUUGGAAUUUCUUUUAGAAAAGCACAAGAAACUGUGCUUUAUUUGUGUUGUGUUAAAGAUCUUAAGCCUUGAGUUCCAUCUGGGAAAUCAAUGGGCAAUUUCUUUUUGAAUUAUGUGUUCUUAACUUGACCAAUGAAUUUAACAGUAUACAAAUAGGAAAAGGUAUAUUGGAGUAUAAUUGAUAACAACUUAAAUGUAGUUUUUUUUUUGGUCUUCUAUCUAGUUUUGAGUCAUUCUGGCCAUAAUUUAGAUUUAUUAUGAGAACCAUUUUGUCUUCUCCUUUUUAGGUAUGUUUAACUCACAAAUUUUCUGUGGAGCUGUGGGAAUUUUUUUUUUUUUUU